AGAUUGAACGCUGGCGGCAUGCCUUACACAUGCAAGUCGAACGGUAACAGGUCAAGCUGACGAGUGGCGAACGGGUGAGUAAUAUAUCGGAACGUGCCCAGUAGUGGGGGAUAGCCCGGCGAAAGCCGGAUUAAUACCGCAUACGACCUACGGGUGAAAGGGGGGGAUCGCAAGACCUCUCGCUAUUGGAGCGGCCGAUAUCAGAUUAGCUAGUUGGUGGGGUAAAAGCCUACCAAGGCGACGAUCUGUAGCUGGUCUGAGAGGACGACCAGCCACACUGGGACUGAGACACGGCCCAGACUCCUACGGGAGGCAGCAGUGGGGAAUUUUGGACAAUGGACGCAAGUCUGAUCCAGCCAUGCCGCGUGCGGGAAGAAGGCCUCGGUGUAACGCUUUGUCAGGAGAAUCCUUGAAAUAAUACUUCGGAGGGAUGACGGUACCUGAAGAAUAAGCACCGGCUAACUACGUGCCAGCAGCGCGGU
This 482-nucleotide ribosomal RNA is filed under the name uncultured bacterium. Its description in RNAcentral is "SSU rRNA". It matches the Rfam family "Bacterial small subunit ribosomal RNA", at positions 26 to 521 of the family's 1533-position model. The record is from RNAcentral.